GUUUGAUCCUGGCUCAGGAUAAACGCUGGCGGUGUGCUUUAUGCAUGCAAGUCGAACGGUCCCGAUUUAUCGGGAUAGUGGCGAACGGGUGAGUAACACGCAAGUAACCUAUCCCAAAGUAGGGAAUAACUUUGAGAAAUCGGAGCUAAUACCUUAUGUGGUGGUGGGGGUAAUGCUCCAUCACUAAAGCCUUCGGGUGCUUGGGGAGGGGCUUACGUCCGAUUAGCUAGUUGGUAAGGUAACGGCCUACCAAGGCAAUGAUCGGUAGCUGGUCUGAGAGGAUGGUCAGCCACACUGGGACUGAGGCACGGCCCAGACUCCUACGGGAGGCAGCAGCAAGGAAUAUUGUGCAAUGGGCGAAAGCCUGACACAGCGACACCGCGUGGGGGAAGAAGGCCUUCGGGUCGUAAACCCCUUUUCUCAGGGAAGAAUAAUGACGGUACCUGAGGAAUAAGUCUCGGCUAACUACGUGCCAGCAGCCGCGGUAAUACGUAGGAGGCGAGCGUUAUCCGGAUUUAUUGGGCGUAAAGCGGGCGUAGGCGGCUCUUCAAGUCAGAUGUAAAAUCUCCCGGCUCAACUGGGAGGGAACGUUUGAUACUGCUAGGCUAGAGUGCAGCAGAGGGAGGUAGAAUUCCCGGUGUAGUGGUGAAAUGCGUAGAUAUCGGGAGGAAUACUAGUGGCGAAGGCGGCCUCCUAGGCUGUAACUGACGCUGAGGCCCGAAAGCGUGGGGAGCGAACAGGAUUAGAUACCCUGGUAGUCCACGCCGUAAACGAUGGACACUAGGUAUGGGGAGUAUCGACCCUUUCCGUGCCGAAGCUAACGCAUUAAGUGUCCCGCCUGGGGAGUACGGUCGCAAGACUAAAACUCAAAGGAAUUGACGGGGGUCCGCACAAGCAGCGGAGCGUGUGGUUUAAUUCGAUGCAACACGAAGAACUUACCAAGGCUUGACAUGUCGGAAGUAGCGAACCGAAAGGU
Molecule: ribosomal RNA, 976 nt
Filed under: uncultured bacterium
Lineage: Bacteria
Description: bacterial SSU rRNA
Rfam family: Bacterial small subunit ribosomal RNA
Source: RNAcentral